Molecule: long non-coding RNA, 351 nt
Filed under: Spirodela polyrhiza (greater duckweed)
Lineage: Eukaryota; Viridiplantae; Streptophyta; Magnoliopsida; Alismatales; Araceae
Description: long non-coding RNA (SPOL_LNC002571)
Source: RNAcentral
GCUGCUCUGCGUGGUGUUCGGGUUGGCCGCAGGCCUCAUCACGUCGUAGUCCUCCGGGAAGCUCUCCGGCGGCCUCUCGGCGUCGAAGGCACCCGCCAGGCGGUGCUUAAUGGAACCCAGGUAGGGGGUGGACGGAAGGGUUAAGGAGACGUUGUUGAUGGACCACUUGGUGUACCCGUUGAGCUUGUUCUGGGUGUUCAGCAGGGCGAUUCGCCGGGUGGCGGAAGCUGGGGGCCUCUCCGUUCCUUUGAGCGCGAGGAUCCUGUAGGUGAAGGCCUUGCUGUGGGCGUAGUCGUUCCACAGCGGCGAGACGGGGGGCUUGGAGGUGGGAAGCUUGGAAGACGAGUUGGG